This is an RNA transcript of Marmota monax (woodchuck), 2383 nucleotides long. It is a transcript of the gene named leukocyte immunoglobulin-like receptor subfamily A member 6, with no coding region annotated. Lineage: Eukaryota; Metazoa; Chordata; Mammalia; Rodentia; Sciuridae. The record is from RefSeq and is a predicted model, not a curated record. The transcript has 13 exons.
GGGGGGGCAGUUCCCCUUCCUGUGGGCAGCUGAUGUGACAGCCCUAUGACAGGCAGAACCCGGCCUCCAAGUGGCCACGCCCUGUGUGUGUCUGUCCUCCAGCUCUGUGACCUCCUCCAUCUGGACCCUGGGACCACGGGGAGGACACACCAUGACCCCCACCCUCACGGCCCUGCUCUGCCUGGGGCUGAGUCUGGGCCCCGGGACCCGAGGGCAGGCAGGGACCCUCCCCAAGCCCACCCUGUGGGCUGAGCCAGGCUCUGUGAUCUCCUGGGGAAGGCCAGUGACCAUCUGGUGUGAGGGGCCCCUGGAGGCCCAGGAGUUCCGUCUGGGUAAAGAGGGAAUCUCAGGGCCCUGGGACAGACAGAGCCCACUGGGCCCCAGGAACAAGGCCAAGUUCUCCAUCCCGCACAUGACUGAGCACCGUGCAGGGAGAUAUCAAUGCCUCUAUCUCAGCCCUGCUGGGUGGUCAGAGCAUAGUGACCCCCUGGAGCUGGUGGUAAUGAUAGGAACCUACAGCAAACCCUGGAUCUCAGCCCUGCCCAGCCCUGUGGUGACCUCAGGAGGGAAGGUGACCCUCCAGUGUGGCUCAUGGCAGGGAUAUGGCAGGUUUGUUCUUGCCAAGGAAGGAGGACACCACCUCACCUGGACCCUGGACUCACAGCGACACCCCAGUGGGCAGUAUCAGGCCCAGUUCCCAGUGGGAACUGUUAACCCCACCCACAGGUGGACAUUCACAUGCUACGGCUAUUUCAGGAGCAACCCGCAGUUGUGGUCAGGACCCAGUGACCCUCUGGAACUCCUGGUCUCAGGGGUGUCCAGGAAGCCCUCCCUCCUGACCCAGCAGGGCCCUGUCCUGGUCCCUGGAGAGACCCUGACCCUCCAGUGUCACUCAGACGUCACCUAUGACAGAUUCGCUCUGUCCAAGGAGGGGGCACAGGACCUCCCCCAGCGCCCUGCCCAGCAGCCCCAGGCUGGGCUCUCUCAGGCCGACUUCCUGCUGGGCCCUGUGAGCAGCUCCCACGGGGGUCGGUACAGGUGCUACGGUGGACACAGCCUCUCCUCUGAGUGGUCAGCCCCCAGUGACCCCCUGGACAUCCUGGUCUCAGGACAGCUCCCUGUCACACCCUCCCUCUCAGUGCAGCCAGGUCCCACAGUGUCCUCAGGGGAGAACGUGACCCUGCUGUGUCAGUCACAGAUCAAGAUGGACACUUUCCUCCUGUGCAAGGAGGGGGCAGCUGAUCCCCCCCUGCAUCUGAGAGCAGAGUACCGAGCCCCAUGGCACCAGGCAGAGUUCUCCAUGACAGCUGUGACCCCAGCCCUCGGGGGAACCUACAGGUGCUAUGGCUCUCACAGCUCAUCCCCCUACCUGCUGUCACGGCCCAGUGCCCCCCUGGACCUGGGGGUCUCAGGACCCUCUGGGGGACCCAGCCCUCCACCCUCAGGACCCAGGUCACCAGCUGGAGGCCCUGAGGACCAGCCUCUCACCCCCACGGACCCAGGACCCCAGAGUGGACUGGGAAGGCACCUGCCGGUUCUGGUCGGGGUCUCAGUGGCCUUCCUCCUGCUGUUCCUCCUCCUCGUCCUCCUCCUCCUCUGGCGUCACAGCAGACGCAGGAAGGCAGCCCAGACAGAGGCUGGCUUCCAGGGACCUGCAGGGGACACAGAGCCAGGGCCCCAGGACAGAGGCCAGCAGAAGAGAUCCCGUCCAGCGGCUGCCCCUGCGGCCCAGGAAGAAGCCCUCUAUGCUUCUGUGAAGGACCCUCAGCCUGAGGACGGGGUGGAGCUGGACAGUCGGGUGAGACCCCCCCCAGGCACCAAGAACUCCCUGUUCCCGCUCAGCCCAGCGGCCAUGUCCCUGUCCUCCACCGCUGACCCUCAGUGAUGACCAGGCUGCCCCCUCCCUCCCUGUGGCCACUCGGGUGCCCUUCCUGGGCCUGGCUGUUGGCGUCUCCUGGGGCCUCCGAGGACCAGGAAUACAUGAGCCACCGUCCCCGAGGCUCCCCCACACUCCGUCCAGCUGUUCUCAGGGAGCUCCCUCCUGACCGGCUCCAGGUCGGCUGCAGGUGCAGGAGCCAGCAGAGCCCCGCCCCCUGAGCUCACCUGGGCCCCGACAUGAAGUAAACGCAGCCUCAGGAGAGCAGAGCCACAAGGGAACUAAAGCAGAGAAAGGGACGGGGCCGGGAGGGCCCUGAUGAGCCGGGGGCACAGGGCCACAGGUGCCUGACGAGCAGCCGCAGCAGGGGACGCGGCAGGUGCCAAGGGCCCACCUGACGGAGACCCCCAGGGAGUGACAUACGCCCAGGUGGAGCACUCAGGACUCAGGCGGGGUGGGAGCUCCCCUCUCCCCCCGCUGUUGGGGCAGUUCCUGGGCACAGAGGAC